UUGGUGAGAUAAAAGCCCACCAAGGCAACGAUCAGUAACCGGCUUGAGAGAGUGAACGGUCACAUUGGAACUGAGACACGGUCCAAACUCCUACGGGAGGCAGCAGUGGGGAAUAUUGCACAAUGGGGGAAACCCUGAUGCAGCGACGCCGCGUGAGCGAUGAAGGAAUUCGUUUCGUAAAGCUCUGUCCUAGGGGAAGAUAAUGACAGUACCCUUGGAGGAAGCCCCGGCUAAAUACGUGCCAGCAGCCGCGGUAAUACGUAUGGGGCGAGCGUUGUCCGGAAUUAUUGGGCGUAAAGGGUACGUAGGCGGUUUCAUAAGUCAGAUGUAAAAGCGUGGGGCUCAACCCCAUAAAGCAUUUGAAACUGUGGAACUUGAGUAGUGGAGAGGAAAGUGGAAUUCCUAGUGUAGCGGUGAAAUGCGUAGAUAUUAGGAGGAAUACCAGUGGCGAAGGCGACUUUCUGGACACAAACUGACGCUGAGGUACGAAAGCAUGGGGAGCAAACAGGAUUAGAUACCCUGGUAGUCCAUGCCGUAAACGAUGAAUGCUAGGUGUCGGGGGUCAAACCUCGGU
This 574-nucleotide ribosomal RNA is filed under the name uncultured bacterium. Its description in RNAcentral is "bacterial SSU rRNA". It matches the Rfam family "Bacterial small subunit ribosomal RNA", at positions 249 to 844 of the family's 1533-position model. The record is from RNAcentral.